GAGCUCGCUGCGGCAGCUCAUCUGCUAAAACUGGGAUGAUACAGAGAUUAGCAUAGCUCCUGUACAAGGAUGACAUGCAAAUUCGUGAAGUGUUCCAGAGAGAG
Molecule: small nuclear RNA, 104 nt
Organism: Chionomys nivalis (European snow vole)
Lineage: Eukaryota; Metazoa; Chordata; Mammalia; Rodentia; Cricetidae
Source: RefSeq, a predicted model, not a curated record